AAAGUGCCAAAAAAAUAAAUUUCUUAAAAAAACAUUAGCCCUAAAAUUUUUUAAGGUGCAGUAUAUUUUGUGCCAUAAAACAUCAGAUUUUUAAAUGAUCAUCUUGUCUAGUGCCUUUUUUAAUUACUGUGCAACAUUUUUAAGCAUUUUUUAAUCAUAGGUAAUGGUGAUGGUGUGCCUGUGAAGCAUGAGUGUUAUGGAGGCCUCUAUUUCAACGAUGAGAAACAUACCUGUGACUUCCCGGAGAACGUGUCUUGUGGGCAGCGUAAAGCCAGUCGCCUUGCACCCCUACCUCACGACUAAGGACUAACUAGAGGAUGCCAGUGCCAGGGACAAGGAUGAGAGUUCCUUGUAACAUUGACUUCUCUGCUGGCUAAUGUAUCAUCAUGGAGUGCUCCCACAGCAAGACUAAAUAACAGACACAUGUAUCCUCACCUGGCUUGUAACCUGAGCAAACUCUUAGCAUAACCAGGAGGAGAAAUAGAAAAUCAGUAGAACUUAAAAUUGAUUAUCAGCCAUCAGUAUCAUAGAGACUAGGUCUAUAGGCCUAAUAUAUAAGUAUAAACAGCCUAAUACCAAUGCUGAAUGAUGCAGUAAAUUAUCUUUUAAUUUAUUAUGAUAGCAUGUCAACAUAUAUUAAGCAAUAAAGUGGUAGAAUUACCGACAAUAUGUAAAGCAAAAGGACACAAGUGCAACUAAUGUGACAUUUUAUUGUGGCAACGUUUCGCUCUCCAGGAACUUUAUCAAGCUUGACAAAGUUCCUGGAGAGCAAAACGUUGCCACAAUAAAAUGUCACAUUAGUUGCACUUGUGUCCUUUUACUUUACAUAUAUUAAGCAGAUGCUCCUCCUGUUGCCCCAGAUGCUACAGUUCUGUUCAUGACACAAUGCCGACCAACACUGUUAUUACAGCAUACGCAAUGUUUUGUUAAAAUUAUUUAUAGCAUUUAAAAAACUUAUACCAAAAAAAAAAGUAGGAAAAUGUACUAAAGUACAUUACAUAAUUUAUCAAAAACAAUUUAUACCAAUAAAUUACAAUGCUGUUUCAAUCUAAAAAGUGUAUAUAAGUAAUUUAAUAAAUUUUAUGAUGCAGA
Non-coding RNA from Cherax quadricarinatus, 1092 nucleotides. The record is from RefSeq and is a predicted model, not a curated record. Lineage: Eukaryota; Metazoa; Arthropoda; Malacostraca; Decapoda; Parastacidae.